Molecule: unclassified non-coding RNA, 341 nt
Filed under: Hevea brasiliensis (rubber tree)
Lineage: Eukaryota; Viridiplantae; Streptophyta; Magnoliopsida; Malpighiales; Euphorbiaceae
Source: RNAcentral
GGACAGUUUGGCUGAAAUAAGGAGAAAACUAUCUGAUGAAGUUGACCCUGCGGGAGGGAGCUCCAGUGUUGGUUCUGAGAAAAACAUGUACUCAAUUGGGCCAAGAUUGAAAGCAUUCUCUGAUUGGCUGCUCAAGACUAUGGUAUCAGGAACUUUGGAGACUAUUUUUCCUGCAGCUACUCGAGAAUAUGCACCAUUGGUUGAAGAGUUGUGGAAUGAUGCUGCUAUUCAGGCUACCUACAAACGAGGAAGUGAGUUGGAAAUGCUGCCGAACGUUGCUCAUUAUUUCCUAGAAAGAGUAGUGGACAUAUUGUCAACCGAUUAUGAACCUUCGGACUCAG